GGGUGUCGGGAAAGAUUUCAUCGGUAUGGGAUGGGGUCGCGUCCUAUCAGGUAGUCGGCGGGGUAACGGCCCACCGAGCCUACGACGGGUAGCCGGCCUGAGAGGGCGACCGGCCACAUUGGGACUGAGAUACGGCCCAGACUCCUACGGGAGGCAGCAGUGGGGAAUAUUGCACAAUGGGCGCAAGCCUGAUGCAGCGACGCCGCGUGCGGGAUGACGGCCUUCGGGUUGUAAACCGCUUUUGAUCGGGAGCAAGCCUUCGGGUGAGUGUACCUUUCGAAUAAGCACCGGCUAACUACGUGCCAGCAGCCGCGGUAAUACGUAGGGUGCAAGCGUUAUCCGGAAUUAUUGGGCGUAAAGGGCUCGUAGGCGGUUCGUCGCGUCCGGUGUGAAAGUCCAUCGCUUAACGGUGGAUCUGCGCCGGGUACGGGCGGGCUGGAGUGCGGUAGGGGAGACUGGAAUUCCCGGUGUAACGGUGGAAUGUGUAGAUAUCGGGAAGAACACCAAUGGCGAAGGCAGGUCUCUGGGCCGUUACUGACGCUGAGGAGCGAAAGCGUGGGGAGCGAACAGGAUUAGAUACCCUGGUAGUCCACGCCGUAAACGGUGGAUGCUGGAUGUGGGGCCCGUUCCACGGGUUCCGUGUCGGAGCUAACGCGUUAAGCAUCCCGCCUGGGGAGUACGGCCGCAAGGCUAAAACUCAAAGAAAUUGACGGGGGCCCGCACAAGCGGCGGAGCAUGCGGAUUAAUUCGAUGCAACGCGAAGAACCUUACCUGGGCUUGACAUGUUCCCGACAGCCGUA
This 800-nucleotide ribosomal RNA is filed under the name Bifidobacterium pseudocatenulatum. RNAcentral describes it as "bacterial SSU rRNA". It matches the Rfam family "Bacterial small subunit ribosomal RNA", at positions 193 to 1003 of the family's 1533-position model. Lineage: Bacteria; Bacillati; Actinomycetota; Actinomycetes; Bifidobacteriales; Bifidobacteriaceae. The record is from RNAcentral.